Long non-coding RNA from Branchiostoma belcheri (Belcher's lancelet), 1040 nucleotides. RefSeq lists it as uncharacterized. The record is from RefSeq and is a predicted model, not a curated record. The transcript has 3 exons. NCBI's taxonomy places the organism in Eukaryota, Metazoa, Chordata, Leptocardii, Amphioxiformes, Branchiostomatidae.
CAUAGAUAAAAGAUAGAUCUUGCCAGGUAACGUGCCUGUUGUGGACUUCAACAACUUCAGCUUGUGGCGCAGUUGCUUUUGCCAAAGAAGAGAACUUUUGACGGCGAAAGAGCGUCAGAAAAGCAGACACAAUGUCUGAUCCCAAUCCGAACAUAAACACUGGAGACGCGUACCCGAAGCCGGCCCAGGGGCAAGGACAGGGUGCGCCAGCCCCUGUCCCCCAGCCUCCCGAUCGCGACAGACCGAGGAACCCGCAGUGAUGCUCCAGCUCCACCCGGCGAUGCUGUGGCCUUCCUCCCGUCUUCCAGCACCGUCGUCUGUGGAUCUGGGGCGACUCUCCUCUAGGGUCCCUGAAUUCAAGAAUUAUGCGUGAACUUUAAAAACUUUAGUUACCUAGUCACGUAGGCGAGCACAAGUGUUCGAGUGUGGAUUGAAGUUCCUAUUUUCACCAGUGUUCUUCCAACACCGGAGUCCGGAGGGAUUCUUCACUAGAGUCCCGGAAUUCAAGAGUUAUGUGACAAGUUAAGCUUUGGUUAUACCUAAUCACUUAGGUAACUAAGUUAUUUUCAGAUGUAACUGUUAUAUAUGAACUUGAAUGUGGAUUUUGAGUUACUAUUUUCACCAGUAUUUCAUAAGACGCUUUGUAACUUUCCAUGCAUGACGUGAUAACUGGUAUCACUCAGCGCACUGUGACGGUGGCCUGAAUGAUUGUUAUGAACACGAAAUAUACAACGUGACUUUGUUGUUACCAAACAUCAUAGCGAGAACUGUACAUGUCAGAGUAGCAUCUAUGGAAUGUCAAUGAUGAAAUCAACAUCAGUGUAAUAGACCAAACACGGAGGUGCUAUGAUUUAUCAUAGCACCUUUUGUCUCAGUCUUUUAUGGCAUCAUCAUCGGUUUAGUUUCUAACUCCCUGAAACGUAACAACGCAACACCAGCCACAUAGAAAUACUCAGCACAUGUACAUAGAGUGUCAACAACGCAACUCUAGACUGUUUGUAGCAGGAUCAGGCCCGUCACUAUUGUCAGCAUUGUCAACC